UCAGAAUUGAGUCAAUUUUUUUCAUAAUUCCGUGGAAAUUGUAUGCAAUCCAGUAAUAGGCGUAUUGUUUCAUUGUUGAUGACGAUAUUUAGUCUAAACGUCCCUAUUGAUUGUACUGACGAGGAAUAUUUAGUCUAAACGUCCCUAAUGAAUACUUUGAUGAGGAAA
Molecule: long non-coding RNA, 168 nt
Organism: Xenia sp. Carnegie-2017
Lineage: Eukaryota; Metazoa; Cnidaria; Anthozoa; Malacalcyonacea; Xeniidae
Exons: 3
Source: RefSeq, a predicted model, not a curated record